GACGAACGCUGGCGGCGUGCCUAAUACAUGCAAGUAGAACGCUGAAGGAGGAGCUUGCUUCUCUGGAUGAGUUGCGAACGGGUGAGUAACGCGUAGGUAACCUGCCUGGUAGCGGGGGAUAACUAUUGGAAACGAUAGCUAAUACCGCAUAAGAGUAGAUGUUGCAUGACAUUUGCUUAAAAGGUGCAAUUGCAUCACUACCAGAUGGACCUGCGUUGUAUUAGCUAGUUGGUGGGGUAACGGCUCACCAAGGCGACGAUACAUAGCCGACCGGAGAGGGGGAGCGGCCACACUGGGACUGGGACACGGCCCAGACUCCUACGGGAGGCAGCAGUAGGGAAUCUUCGGCAAUGGACGGAAGUCUGACCGAGCAACGCCGCGUGAGUGAAGAAGGUUUUCGGAUCGUAAAGCUCUGUUGUAAGAGAAGAACGAGUGUGAGAGUGGAAAGUUCACACUGUGACGGUAUCUUACCAGAAAGGGACGGCUAACUACGUG
RNAcentral lists this ribosomal RNA (495 nucleotides) under uncultured bacterium. RNAcentral's name for it is "partial 16S ribosomal RNA". It matches the Rfam family "Bacterial small subunit ribosomal RNA", at positions 28 to 507 of the family's 1533-position model. The record is from RNAcentral.